UACGAAGGGGGCUAGCGUUGCUCGGAAUCACUGGGCGUAAAGGGUGCGUAGGCGGGUUGUUAAGUCUGAUGUGAAAUCCUGGAGCUCAACUCCAGAACUGCCUUUGAUACUGAGGAUCUUGAGUUCGGGAGAGGUGAGUGGAACUGCGAGUGUAGAGGUGAAAUUCGUAGAUAUUCGCAAGAACACCAGUGGCGAAGGCGGCUCACUGGCCCGAUACUGACGCUGAGGCACGAAAGCGUGGGGAGCAAACAGG
Molecule: ribosomal RNA, 253 nt
Filed under: uncultured bacterium
Lineage: Bacteria
Description: partial 16S ribosomal RNA
Rfam family: Bacterial small subunit ribosomal RNA
Source: RNAcentral